Molecule: long non-coding RNA, 1767 nt
Filed under: Nicotiana tabacum (common tobacco)
Lineage: Eukaryota; Viridiplantae; Streptophyta; Magnoliopsida; Solanales; Solanaceae
Description: long non-coding RNA (NTAB_LNC008266)
Source: RNAcentral
CACACUACACAAAGCAUUUCAGAACCCAAACGAUCAUUCUCAGGAAUACUGGUUUCAAACUAAAGUCCUGCUUCAACAUAUUCUCAAAAGAAAAGAAGUACUGCAUCUUUAUUACAAAUAACUAACUUGAAGGCCUAUAAUAAUAGAUUUAUCAGGCCUUUAUAUAUAAUAUUUCUUAUUAGAUGAAUGGCUAUAAAACACAUUCAAUUUGCAUGCAUACUUCAGGAAAAUAAAGCUAAUAAAGGAACUAAAAUGAAUUUGGGAGAAAACAUAAAAAUAAAAAUAAAACUUCAAUAGAUUGUUCAAUUUUCAGCUACAUAGGACAAACAGGCUUGCACUUCGAAGAUCAUUUAUAGUCCAAGAGGUACCUGGAUAUUGAAACAAAACAAAAGGGGAUGAGUAGUUCAACAAUGAGUAGAUCAACAGCUCAAGAGAGAAUAAGAUUCAGCUUCUUCAGACCCUUCUUAACCCCAUAGAAACUAGAAAUCCCUCGAAAAUCUCAGAAGUUCUUACUAACAGAGAAAACCAAGGCACAAUUCCAACCAGUUUCAACAAAAAUAAUGCAGGAACUUUUAGUAUUUUUCAGGAUUCCGAAAAUUUGUCCUUUGGGAGUGAGGGAAGGGUUCUAUAUAUAGCUCUAAAGAGUGCCAUGUGCUGAAAAGAAUAAGGGAAUUAUUCCCUUCAGCCACAAGGCAUCUUUUAACAAACUUGGACAGCUGGCUUCCCCUCAUUGGUUUCAGCAUUUUGUGCUAACCAAAUGAGGCCAUCUACCCCAUAUUCUAGAAUAUUCUAGCAGGGUCUUUAUCCUAUUAUAUUUUCCCACCCUCCAAAUAAACCCCUCAAAUUUCUUAUUUACAAUUAGCCCUCACAAAUUUCAAUUAAGGCUAAAAUAGUUGAAACAAAACUAUUGAACAAAAUAAAUACUGACUUAAGCUAAUUAAGCAAUUAGGCAUACACUAAUUAAACUGAACUAUUUAAAAGUUUAUUAAUCAGGCAUGAAUCAAACCAAGUCAAUGAACCCUAGAAAACUGAUUAAAAUUAGCUAAUGUUAUGACUGAUACCUAUUGGCUGAUUAAUCAAAGAGAAGUUUUAAAUAACAAAAAUUUGAACAAAUUGAACAAACCAAGACACGGCAAACCAACAAUUACCCUAAAAGAAAUCUAACUGAAUCACUGCCUAAUUAAAGGAACUGGCUCAAUUCUCUUAAACACCUAAAUUAACUAAUAAUUAAUGACUAAUCAUUGAACUAAAGAUUGACCACAGAGCGAUGUCAAAAUUUAAGAAAAUGAAAGAGAAAUGAACAAAUAAGAUGGAAUAACAACACAUAGCGAGCAACACUAGGAAGAAGGAGAUUGAAACUAAAAUGAAGAAAAGAAGUGUACCUAUUUAAGAAAACAAAAGGAAUCCAAUGCAGAUUUGGCUCGACUUCGACAUAAUUCGGAAUUGACCCCAAAUGAUUGUUCUUGUCAAGAACAAUCCAUUUGCGGUGAGUUUCGAACUACACGAACAUAAAGGAUCACAUGAAACUGGAACAUGCAAGAACAAAUUUUCUUUUCAUUCUCAGAUCUGAAAUUGGAGAAAUUCGGUGGGGAUUUAAGGGAAACCGUUGAAUGAUUUGGAAAGGAGGGGAGAUGAGGAUUGCAUGGUUAAAUUUUGGGGUGGUUUGGAGCAUCACCGCCGCUGAGGGCAAUUUCCGGUGACAGCGCAUGGUGGUGCCGGCAAGAGAACUUGGGCGGCUAGGGUUUGGACUCUCAGAUGUUAGAGAUG